This 443-nucleotide ribosomal RNA is filed under the name uncultured bacterium. Its description in RNAcentral is "partial 16S ribosomal RNA". It matches the Rfam family "Bacterial small subunit ribosomal RNA", at positions 338 to 795 of the family's 1533-position model. The record is from RNAcentral.
CCUACGGGCGGCAGCAGUGGGGAAUAUUGGGCAAUGGGCGCAAGCCUGACCCAGCAACGCCGCGUGAAGGAAGAAGGCUUUCGGGUUGUAAACUUCUUUUAUCAGGGACGAAGCGAGUGACGGUACCUCCUGAAUAAGCCACGGCUAACUACGUGCCAUCAGCCGCGGUAAUACGGAGGUGGCAAGCGUUAUCCGGAUUUACUGGGUGUAAAGGGUGUGUAGGCGGGAGUGCAAGUCAGAUGUGAAAACUAUUGGCUCAACCCAUAGCCUGCAUUUGAAACUGUACGUCUUGAGUGCUGGAGAGGCAAUCGGAAUUCGGGGUGUAGCGGUGAAAUGCGUAGAUAUAACGAGGAACACCAGUGGCGAAGGCGGAUUGCUGGACAGUAACUGACGUUGAGGCGCGAAAGCGUGGGGAGCAAACAGGAUUAGAUACCCGAGUAGUC